Molecule: ribosomal RNA, 708 nt
Filed under: Streptomyces sp.
Lineage: Bacteria; Bacillati; Actinomycetota; Actinomycetes; Kitasatosporales; Streptomycetaceae
Description: bacterial SSU rRNA
Rfam family: Bacterial small subunit ribosomal RNA
Source: RNAcentral
ACGGGGUCUAAUACCGGAUACCACUCCUGCCUGCAUGGGCGGGGGUUGAAAGCUCCGGCGGUGAAGGAUGAGCCCGCGGCCUAUCAGCUUGUUGGUGGGGUAAUGGCCCACCAAGGCGACGACGGGUAGCCGGCCUGAGAGGGCGACCGGCCACACUGGGACUGAGACACGGCCCAGACUCCUACGGGAGGCAGCAGUGGGGAAUAUUGCACAAUGGGCGAAAGCCUGAUGCAGCGACGCCGCGUGAGGGAUGACGGCCUUCGGGUUGUAAACCUCUUUCAGCAGGGAAGAAGCGAAAGUGACGGUACCUGCAGAAGAAGCGCCGGCUAACUACGUGCCAGCAGCCGCGGUAAUACGUAGGGCGCAAGCGUUGUCCGGAAUUAUUGGGCGUAAAGAGCUCGUAGGCGGCUUGUCACGUCGGAUGUGAAAGCCCGAGGCUUAACCUCGGGUCUGCAUUCGAUACGGGCUAGCUAGAGUGUGGUAGGGGAGAUCGGAAUUCCUGGUGUAGCGGUGAAAUGCGCAGAUAUCAGGAGGAACACCGGUGGCGAAGGCGGAUCUCUGGGCCAUUACUGACGCUGAGGAGCGAAAGCGUGGGGAGCGAACAGGAUUAGAUACCCUGGUAGUCCACGCCGUAAACGUUGGGAACUAGGUGUUGGCGACAUUCCACGUCGUCGGUGCCGCAGCUAACGCAUUAAGUUCCCCGCCUGG